This 314-nucleotide ribosomal RNA is filed under the name uncultured eukaryote. Its description in RNAcentral is "partial 18S ribosomal RNA". It matches the Rfam family "Eukaryotic small subunit ribosomal RNA", at positions 1470 to 1796 of the family's 1831-position model. The record is from RNAcentral.
CCCUUAGAUGUUCUGGGCCGCACGCGCGCUACAAUGGCAGACUCAGCGAGUUACCUCUGUCGAAAGGCACAGGGAAUCUUUACAGUAUCUGCCGUGAUGGGGAUAGACCCUUGUAAUUUUUGGUCUUCAACGUGGAAUUCCUAGUAAACGCAAGUCAUUAACUUGCAUUGAUUACGUCCCUGCCCUUUGUACACACCGCCCGUCGCACCUACCGAUUGAAUGGUCCGGUGAAGUCCUCGGACCCAGUUGAACCUCGAGUUGAACAGGGAAAGUUGACUAAAUCUUACCAUUUAGAGGAAGGUGAAGUCGUAACA